This is a long non-coding RNA of Bos taurus (domestic cattle), 1867 nucleotides long. Lineage: Eukaryota; Metazoa; Chordata; Mammalia; Artiodactyla; Bovidae. The record is from Ensembl.
CUCCAUCACCACCCUGAACCUUUUCCAGGAUGGUGAACCCAAAGUGGGAGCAACAGGAGUGGGGGCUGGGCCUGGAGCAUGUACAGGGGAAGGUACUGUUGGGUGAUCAACUUCCUCAUAGAUGGGGGGUGCCUCCCAGGGGUGCUGGGAGUUUUCAUAUUCUAGAGAAGCCACAUCUGGAAUCUAGCAUAGACUCUCAUGGACCCAGGGCAGAAAAGUGAAGGAGAAAACAGUCAACUCGAAAGACAAGAAGGUUUUAAGUAGAGCACGUGCUCAGUCACUUCAGCUGUGUCCAACUCUUUGCUAUAGACUGUAGCCCACCAGGCUCCUCUGUCGGGAUUUUCCAGGCAAGAAUACUGGAGUGGGUUGCUGGUCCCUUCUCCAGAGGAUCUUCCCAACCCAGGGAACCUGCAUCUCCUGCAUUGCAGGCAGAGUCUUUACCACUGAGACAGCAGGGAAGCCCAUAAGUAGAGUAACCUGAGCCAAAGACAGAAGGAAGGCCUCCUGUAGGAGUGGGACUUUGAAGGGGGAUCUUAAUGGAAAGAACCCAAGAGGGACCCUGAGAAAUAACGUAGCCAAACCCAGACCUCGUACCUCCUGGGUGUUUGUGAAGUGAAGCAGCCACAAGUUUAUUCUCCCACGUUACUCGGCACUGGCCAUCUGCAGAUGAAACAGUGAAUCAUGGAGACAAGUAGAACCCAUGGAGGCCACCCUGUCCACCACCGCAUUAUAUCUGAGUGUGGACCCUGGAACUCCACUGUGAGCCCAUCUCUAAUAUGGCCAUAGACGUCUAAGAGGGAGCAGUAAAAAAGGAAAGAAAAUGGACUUGGGAGCAGGAAUUUCACAUCCCAGUCCUGGUUCUCCUGCUGGAUAAAUCACCUCACCAUUCUGGUCCUCAAACUCUUCAUGGAUCAAGAGAUGGUGGUUGACCAGAUGACUACAGAGAUCUUUCCGGCUCUAAGAUGUCAUGGAAUGCUUUGUGAAUUAGAAUUGGAGUAUGAGAAAGGAUGGCUCUCUGAAGCCAUUUCUCCGACCACCUGUGUACCAGCUGUACUGCUCCUGCUGAAUGUCAGAACAUCCCAGCCCAGUGAAGAGGGGAGGUGGGGCAGAGCUAUGUGGCCUGAAGGACUUGGCAGAACAAAGCCCCACUAAGCAGGGCCCUGUGUUUUCACUGACAUGAAUGCCCAGGGAAAUGCUCUGGGAAGCCCAGCCCAGGCCUGUGUCAGAAAGACUUUCCUGGAGUUUGAACACAUACCACAGGCUCAAAAGACCACCAGUCUCAUCCAACCAGUAGAACAGUGUUUUCCAAGCCUUGGAGAGAGCUCAGACCUGCCGCUCAGGAUGGGCUGGUAACCUGAAGUGGAGCCAGGCCAACAACUGGGUGUCCUCAGAGACGUCAAGAGGGUGUGAGAGAGCCACAGGGCCGGCAGGGGUGGCACUCAUAUGAGGACCGGCAUCCAGGCGUGGGGAGGAGUAAGAUGAAUGUGGCCAGGACGUUUACUGCUCACUGCCUUUGACAAAUGACGAUGGUCAGCAGAAUGAAUUCACCAGGAAAGAAAACACAACUCACAGGGCAGCCACGGAGCCCUUUAAGAAGUGCCUUUUUUCUCCCCUAGUGGUGUGGCCAUCACCAAGGCAGAGAGAAACAGGCCCCCAGGAGUGGCCUGGGUCAACCAGACUUCCCCAUGACUUGCUUCCUGUGAUAGGCAGAAGGGUGGCCCCCAAAGAUAUCUAGGUCCUAAUCCCUGGAACCUGAAAACAUUCCUUUACCUGGUGAAAAGGAAUCUGCUGAUGCAAUUGAACUGAGGCUCUUGAGAUGGAGAGAUUACCCUGAAUUAUCUGGGUGGGCCCUGAAUGUCAUCACAAG